This 2847-nucleotide long non-coding RNA is filed under the name Capsicum annuum. RNAcentral's name for it is "long non-coding RNA (CANN_LNC002029)". Lineage: Eukaryota; Viridiplantae; Streptophyta; Magnoliopsida; Solanales; Solanaceae. The record is from RNAcentral.
UUUUCCUUUCAUUACCCAAAAUGCACAGAGAAAUGAUAAAUCUUUCACUCUUUCUCCAUCUUCCUUAUCUACUCUAUACCCAAAAUCAAAACUCUAAUCCACUAUAUCUGACCAUCCGCCUGCACUCAAAGGAUUCAUCCUAUUUUCAGCCUUUCCAAUCCGCUACUUCAACAAAUUAGCGAAAAUCAGUUCCUAAAUAGUGAUAUAAUGAAAUUCGAUUUCAAAUCCACGUUAAAGACACAAAAAUCAUCUAAAAUCGUGAAGUGAGUUGUCUCUUUUAACUUUUUGAAUUUCAAAUACAUCCCUUUGAUUUGGCCGUUGGUUUCCUUGAAUUUUUGAUUUCAAAUUUGGACUUUCAAGUCCAAAUUUGCAUAUAAAUACCAACAUUUUUACCUAUUUCGAAGAGGGGGAGAAGUUUUUUGGAAGGAGAGAACAAGUUCAAAAAUAUAGAGUGAACACUACGAAUCGGCAUAGUAAGGUCACAAAAUUAUUAUUUCUCUUUGUUGUUUUCGGUCUAAGGUCGAUUCCUCGAAGUUUGAGUUAUUCAUAUGAAUCUUGACACUGAAGCCCCAGGCUUGCUUCCCAACACAAGGUAAGCUUUCGUCUUCUUUCUUCCUUGUAUUUCUCUUUUGUGCUUGAAAUGGCUGUGUGAAUUAAUUCCUACUCCAUUUUCACUUCUUUAUUGUUGUGUAUUAGCAAUAUAGAUUUAUCUUUAUUGUCUACUAUUCUGGAUACGUGGCUGUAUAAAGAACCAACAUUUUUACCUAUUUCGAAGAGGGGGAGAAGUUUUUUGGAAGGAGAGAACAAGUUCAAAAAUAUAGAGUGAACACUACGAAUCGGCAUAGUAAGGUCACAAAAUUAUUAUUUCUCUUUGUUGUUUUCGGUCUAAGGUCGAUUCCUCGAAGUUUGAGUUAUUCAUAUGAAUCUUGACACUGAAGCCCCAGGCUUGCUUCCCAACACAAGGUAAGCUUUCGUCUUCUUUCUUCCUUGUAUUUCUCUUUUGUGCUUGAAAUGGCUGUGUGAAUUAAUUCCUACUCCAUUUUCACUUCUUUAUUGUUGUGUAUUAGCAAUAUAGAUUUAUCUUUAUUGUCUACUAUUCUGGAUACGUGGCUGUAUAAAGAAUAAGAUAUGUGGUAGAAACUCUAUUUUCUAUUGAUCCUAAAUUUAGAACCUUGGUUGCAUUGUGUUCACAUCAUCCUUUCGAUUUGGAAUGAACAACGUUUUGCAAGAAACUUGUUAGUUUUGGCCAUGGUAUGGUUCGAUUUCGAAUCGAAAGAUUGUUUUUCCCUCAUAUUUUCUUGACAUUCUUGUGAGAAUGAGUAUUGUUUGAUGAAACAGUGGCUUGAAAAUGUCAAAACUUGGCAUAGCACGAACAGGCCGCUAAAUAAUCUGAUCUGUAUUUUCAAUAUCCCUCUACUAUCUCAUCUCCCUCUAUCUAAAGUAUGAACCUGUGCAUGUGGCGGUUGUAUGCAUUUUAUUUUUAGCUAAAUAUUCUUUCAAAAUAAUAAAUAAAGACGACAUUGAGAUAUGUUUUACAAAAUACGUUGAAAGCUUUGAUUUGGAAUGUUCACAGAAUGAAAUAGUAUCUUUGAAUCUUUAUUUGUCUGCCUUUGUAGUAUGUUAAAGAGUUUUUUUCCAUCUUGUGUGGAAUUAUUGUAUGAACUAUCGUAUGUAUUAGACUUCUAAAAAAUGGUUGGCUAGCCCUGUGUGUGAUUCCUUAAGAAGAAUUUAAUUGUACGCAUUAACAUAUUGGGGCUGAUAAGAUUUUUCUACUUACUAAUAUAGUUGAAAGUAUCAAAGUAUCAUUCAAUUAGAAUCUCGUCCCAUUUGUAAUUUUACUGUUGAAAGGUCACGAUAUUAUUUUGCUUAGAAAGAGUGAUUAGCUAGUUUGUGGCUUAUCCAAAUUAGAAUUUUUUUUAGAAAUAAGUUAGCCUUUAUCUGGUUGCACUCUCGUUUUUGCCUUAGCCAAAAAGGAUGACUUUCUUAAAGUAUUAUAUCCAUGGAAUUUAAAACACAUGCUUUGCUAAAUGAAAUGCUCAUUCAACAUAUUUUCUCCCUUAAUUUGUAUUUUCCCCUGUACUCCUUAUUUGAUCAAAUACUAAUCCUUAUCAUUUUUCUUUAUUUCAUGUAAUCUGGGGUUUCGGAGUUUUGAAGGAAGCUCCAUUUUUUGACCCAAAGAUCGGGUUGGGUCAACAGCUAUAGGAUCACAGAGCUUGGGGCCUAAACCACUAGGAGUUGAGUCCUUCGAUAGGAAUUUAUCGUAUCAAGUUCUCCGCCUUCUUCUCUACUUUAUUUUUCGUAUUUAUUUCACUAACGUUGUAUUUCUUUGAAUAUCUCGAUUGAGUAGUUUUACUUUGUUUAAUUUUGUUUAGCUCAAAAGAUCUCUUGGUUUGCUUCGGUUAAUCUUUCACUCAUCCAACGUAUGUAGGUAUAGUAAUGUCAUGUGAUUUAACCAUUUGUUCACUUCACACUUGCAAAUAAACCUUCUAAAGUAAAAGAGGUAAAUUUUGAUCUUUAAUUACAGUCUCAAAUAAAACACAUUUCUUUUGGAAUUGAUUAAAAUGGUUAACAAUUGUUUUCGUUUUCAAAAAAAAAAAUGUUAAACAACUGUCUUUUUAUCACCUUAAAUGGACUUUUUCAAAUAAAUCACUAUAAAUAGGUUUCAAUUAGUUUAUCUGUUUAUGUUUGCAAGUAACUCAUCUCCCAAAUUAAAUUCUUUUAAUUAACUCAAUAUAAUUUAAGUACUUAUUAUAUUUCAUAUUAAUUUCUAACUUUGUUUCAAAGUUUUCUUUUUCUUUAUUUUUUAAAAGUUUUUGAAAUGCAAGGUAUAUGUUUAUUCUUACGUCU